This 498-nucleotide ribosomal RNA is filed under the name uncultured bacterium. RNAcentral's name for it is "partial 16S ribosomal RNA". It matches the Rfam family "Bacterial small subunit ribosomal RNA", at positions 30 to 523 of the family's 1533-position model. The record is from RNAcentral.
AUUGAACGCUGGCGGCAUGCUUUACACAUGCAAGUCGAACGGUAACAGGCCGCAAGGUGCUGACGAGUGGCGAACGGGUGGGUAAUGCAUCGGAACGUGCCCAGGCGUGGGGGAUAACGCAGCGAAAGCUGUGCUAAUACCGCAUCCGAUCUAUGGAUGAAAGCGGGGGACCGUAAGGCCCCGCGCGAUUGGAGCGGCCUAUGUCAGAUUAGGUAGUUGGUGGGGUAAAGGCUCACCAAGCCAACGAUCUGUAGCUGGUCUGAGAGGACGACCAGCCUCACUGGGACUGAGACACGGCCCAGACUCCUACGGGAGGCAGCAGUGGGGAAUUUUGGACAAUGGGCGCAAGCCUGAUCCAGCAAUGCCGCGUGCAGGAAGAAGGCCUUCGGGUUGUAAACUGCUUUUGUACGGAACGAAAAGGUUUGGGUUAAUACCCUGGGCCGAUGACGGUACCGUAAGAAUAAGCACCGGCUAACUACGUGCCAGCAGCCGCCGUAA